CUCAAUCUUACCCGCCUCUUUUUAUCCUCAAAUAAUCUUAGUGGUGUCAUAGAGUUUCGCAUGUUCUCAAACCUUCCAAAUCUCGACCUUCUUGACCUUUCAUAUAACAGCCUAUCCUUAACAUCUAAUACUACUUCUACUGUUAAUCAUAUAUUGCCUAAUCUUACAAUGUUAUUUUUGUCAUCUUGCAAUCUUAGUGAAUUCCCCCAAUUUUUGAAAGGGCUUAAAAGGUUGGAAAUGUUAGACCUCUCUUGCAACAAACUUCAAGGCAAGAUUCCACAGUGGAUGCAAGAGGUGGGGAAUGUCUCUUUGACUUUCUUAAACGUAUCUCACAACUCUUUGACAGAAGUUGAGCACUUUCCGUGGAAUAAUAUUGCAGUUCUGGACUUAAGCUCCAAUUUGAUCCGUGGAAAUCUUCCGAUUCCAGCUUCGAAGAUCAAUGUCUUUCUGAUCUCAAAUAAUAGUUUCAAUGGAGAGGUCUCUUCUUUAAUCUGCAAUGCCAGUGAUCUUGAAAUUCUUGAUUUGUCCCACAAUAACUUGAGUGGAACAAUUCCGCAAUGUUUUGGAAAUUUGAGCAACAGCCUUGAAUUCUUGAAUCUGAAGAAGAACAAGUUCUAUGGGACGAUUCCUCCAACAUUUGCAGAGGGAUGCCAAUUGAGUAAUUUCAACUUAAAUGGAAAUCUGUUAGAAGGGCCUUUGACACCAUCCAUCCUUAAUUGUAAUGAUCUGGAAGUGCUAGAUCUUGGUAACAACAAGAUCAAUGAUACAUUUCCUCAUUGGUUGGGAAGUCUUCCACAGCUACAAGUUCUUGUAUUGAAGUCAAAUCAUAUGCAUGGUUCCUUGCGUGUCAAUAGCUCCAAGUCUAGCCCUUUUUUCUCUAAAAUCCAAAUUUUUGAUCUCUCAAGUAAUUAUUUUUCUGGACCCCUACCAGUGAGAUACAUCAACAGCUUCAAGGCUAUCAUAAAUCUAGAGAAGAUUGGUAGUACAGUGUCGUACAUGGGGGUGAAUGAUGGCUUCUAUACCUAUUCCAUUGGAAUUGUUAUAAAAGGACAAUAUAUGGAAUUGGUGAAAAUUUUCACCGUGUGGAUGAUCAUUGAUCUAUCAAACAAUCAGUUUGAAGGGGGUAUUCCAGAGGUUUUUGGGAAGCUUAACUUACUGAAAGGGCUCAACCUUUCUCAUAAUAACCUUAAUGGUGGUAUCCCUACCUCAAUAGGGAAUUUGACAAGUCUUGAAUGGUUGGACCUAUCUUCAAACAGGUUGUCUGGGACGAUUCCAAAUAGAUUGGCAGAUCUGCCAUUUCUUUCGUCCUUCAAUGUUUCUGAAAAUCAACUCCAUGGUCAGAUUCCUCAAGGCAAACAGUUCAACACAUUUGGAAAUGAUUCAUAUGAAGGAAACAAAGGAUUAUGUGGAUUUACGGUCUCGAAAGGUUGAAACAUCAUUGAGCCAGCACCUCCAAAUGUGCUUGAAAAAGAUGGCUCAAAAUCAAACAUUACUUUUGGUUGGAAAGUGGUGUUGAUAGGUUAUGGAUGCGGAGUGGUGUUCGGAAUGUCCGUGGGAUAUGUUGUUUUCCAAACUGGUAAGCCGAAAUGGUUGGUGAAUUUGGUUGAAAUCCAACAUGAGAAGAAGCGAAGAAGAAAGUCAAAGGAUGGCAGUCGCAGAAAUGGACGAAGAAGGAUCUAGUUAGUGGAAAUGAUGUUCAAGUGUUGAUGUUGUAUCUUCAUAAUUUCUUGUUUUGAAGUCUUUCAAUUUUUUUCCUAUGGUGAAAGGUUGCAUUGGCAUGCAUCUGUCUUUGUUAUUGUGACAAUUCAUCUAUAUUUCAUUGCAUUACGUGGUAUUUGUAAGGGUUUGUUUUAAAUGUAACAUUUUGUAUGGUUCAACUAUUUAUGUCUUCUUUCAUGACUUUUAUUUUUGAGUCUCAAUAAUCUCUGCAUUCAAGAUUUUGUCAGCUUAUUAAUUGGUGGAUCAAUAAUCUUCAUGCUCAUCUCAUCAUCUUUUUCUCGAGUUAAACACAGCCAAUACUAUAACAAUUUCUUCUGUGUGGAAAAUAAUUUGGCAUUCUGCAAAUUUCCACAAUGCUUGUGGAUUGCCUUUGGUUGACAGCUAUACAUAUAAAGGAAGGAAACAAGACCAUGUCAAAAUUUCCAAAAAUUAGUCAUUCAUUUUUUAAAAUUGUAAAUUCUCAAGUAAUGUAAAUUAGUCCUAAAACUCAAGUUUUGAAAUCUUUACAAUUUAACCCCUUACUAUUUUAUGCUCAACUUUCUAAAUCUUCAUAUUUCAUGAUCAUAUAAUUUAGUUACUACAUCAAUAUUUGAGAUUUCACUACUCAAACCCUUACUUCAUUUUGGUCCUUACUUCAAUUUUAUCAAAUUAAAUCAUUUUUCAAUUUGAAUGCAUUGAUGUGAAAUUGAGGGAGCACUAAACAAUGUUGAUGCGAGUUUAGGCAAAAUUGGUGGAUCCCAUCUCCUUAGUAAUUUCUUUAUGGAAGUAGCUGCUUUCACACUGCAAACUUGGAUAAUUUGUGGUGGACGAUGAUGAAUGAUUUGACAAUCAAACACAUAAUUUUUAAACACAAAAUUAACGAUAUAUUGAAAUCAUUAUUGAAAUUAUAAUCAAAAUUAAUACAUGUUUUUUUUAUUUGCUUAAGGUGUAAAAACCCUUCAAAAUUUUCAAAAAUAAAAAUAAAAAUUUAAGUCCCUCUUUUUUUUUUUAACACUCAAUUGAGCACUUAAACUUUUAAAAUGUGUCAAAAAUAUCUUUACACUUCUUCAAAAAAAGCGAUUAAACUCUUUUUUUUUUCGCUCAAUUGGGUGCUUGAACUUUCAUAAUGCAUCAAAAAGACCUUUUUUUUUCAAAGAAACAAUUAAGCCUCUAUUUUUUUCCCACUCAAUUGGGUACUUGAACUUUCAUAAUGCAUCAAAAAGCAAUUAAGGCCUUUUUCAUGCAUUAUGAAAGUUCAAGUACCGAAUUGAGUGCAAGAAAAAAAAAGUAGGGGCUUAAUUGCUUUUUUUGAAAAUGUUUGAGGGCCUUUUUGAUGUAUUUUGAAAGUUCAAGUACCCAAAUGAGUGCAUAAAAAGAACAGGGGUUCAAUUGCCAUUUUUGAAAAAGUUUGAGGGCUUUUUGCACCCUUAAACCUCUUUUCUUUUUCUAAAUUUAAUUUAGAACCAACUUUGAGUAAAGACUUGGGAAAUUUAAUUACCAAAAUUUCUUUCCAUGCAAAAAUUUCCCCUAUUUCUUGUUUGAAUUUAAAGCAAUACAAUAUUUUUCUAGCUAGUAAUAGAAAAUGACAGUCAAUUCAUUCCAAGCAAUGCAAAAUUUCCAGUCUGGUGGAAAAUUUGUUUCUUAGAUACUAUUAUUCAACUUUUAAGGCAUAAGUUUGAAUAUAGGGACUACAUUUUUAAAGUGUUGUUUACUACACACUUAGGGACCAUAUAUGUGUAUAUAUAUAUAUAUAUAUUCCAGUCUGGGUCUUUGUCGUGUUUUGUUGGUUGGCUAUGGCCUUGUUGCUGUUUCCACUGUCUGUGGUCUUUGUUUCUAAGUCAUAUGUGGCCUUGUUUGCUACAACUUAGUUGCUAAGUUAAAGGGAGUUAAUAGAGCACCAUUUUCUUCUUUUGCGUGGAAAAUAAGUUGGCGUUAUGCCAAUUUCCACAUUCAUACAUAUAAUGGAAGCAAGAGCAAGUCAAUAUACUUUGUAAUCUCAUCACUUCUUCUUCUUUCUUUGGGGAGUUCAAAUGAAAUACAAAUUUUGAGUAAAUCAACUAUUCAUUGACGGUACAAACGAGUUAAAAUUUCCAGCAUUCAUGUCUUUGUUUUCCCUCAAGUAAACGUAGUCAAUACUGCAAAUGGUGUGGAAGUAUUGUACAUUGUGGCCCAAAUGUCCAAAAUUUCCCCAUUGCUUGUAAAUGAAAUUUGGGUGAGAGAGAUGGGAGGAAGCAACAGCAAGUGUGAAGUCAAUAGACAAUUGACAGUCUUUAUUCUUUUGUGUGGAAAAUUAUUUGGGACCAAACUUGACUUGUUAUAAGGAAGAAGACUUUGUAAUCUCAUAAAUGUUAAUUAUUUUACUUCUUUGGUAAAAAAAAAAGUAAUCAAUUUUAUGAAUGAAAAAUAUAUGGUAAAGAGGAAGUAGUUGUUGAUCACUAAUAACAUGAUGAUUGUGGAAAUACAAAAAUUCCCGUAUAUGUGUUGAAUUCUGCAUAAUGUAAAUGUCCCGCAUUGCAUGUGAAUUCUGCAAUAAACUAAACUUUACGUGUUAUAGUUCUUUAAACCGAGUUAAUGAAAAGUAACCAUUCUUAUCAAAAUUAGUUAUACUCCUAAUUUAUAACAAAGGAAAUAAUAAUUUGAGUUUAACUCAAAGGUUAAUAUGUCAUCAAUGGGCGAUGGCGUGGUGCUACCAUGUCAGCGAUUAUUUUCUUCUUUGAGUUAAGGUGAUUUCACCAAUUUUAGGUUACUUUUUUACUUCAAUUUAGGUUUAUGCUUAUUAGCUUCGAAGAUUCUAAGUGGGUGCCACAAUCAAAGGGUGAGUAAAAAGGGUUAAAAAUGAUUUUUUUUAAAAAAUAUUUUUAUUUUUUUAUUAAAAAUUUAGAAUUAGAAUUAGACAAAUUUUGUAAAUGUUAAGGCUAACUUUAUUGAAUUUUUUUUUUCAGAAUUUGAACUAAAAUGACAAAUUUUGUAAAAAGCACUAAAUUUGUUGAAUUUUUUACAUUUAGGAUCAAAUUGAUAGAAUGUGUAAAUAUUAGAGGUUAAAUUUGUUAUUAGAUGAAUAAAAAAAACCCACAUCAACUUUCCAUCACUCAUCUAACGACAACUAAAGGGAGAGUGAUUAAAAUAUUUAAUUUCAAAAAGUUUAGCAACUAAAUUGGAAAAUUUAAUAGUUGGGUGACUAUUUUUAUAGUUUACAAUUUUUUUGGUCACCUGACUAUUAAGUGACACGUUUUAGUUGGUAUAAUAAUAAUUUUAGUCCUCAAUUUUUAUACUUUCUGUCAAUUUAACUCUAAUUAUAUAAAAUGAUUACAAAAGUGAAAUUCUUUUUAAAUUUUACAAAAUUCUAAAAAUUAAAUGAAAGUAGAUAAAAAUUUCAAAUAUAAAUAAAGUGAGAGAAAAUGAGGAAAAUAUUAUUUUUAAACCCUCCAAAUUUUAUUUGUAUUAUCUGUAAAGCAAUAUCUAAUAUCCAUUCUUUUAGAAAACAUAGAAAAAGGUAAAAAAAAGCUUAAGUAAAAUUAUCUGUAUAUAAUCUGCUUUUAUAAUUUGGGUUUUUAAAAAUAAAUUUAAAUGAAUUGAAAAUUUGAAUUGAGUUUGAAAAAGAAAAUUUUGUGGUAUAUUUUAUAUUUUUGCUAGAAAAAUAGCAUCAAAGUCGAUUUCGUAAGCUUUUGUAAUAUCAGUUACGGAUGUUCUUCAAGGGCAUAGAACUCAACUUGAAAAUUUUACUAAUUUGGUUACAAAAAAACAUUGAGGAAGCAUAUAAUGAUCUAACUUUUUUUUUCUGUUUUUAAUUUGUUAUGGGAUUCUAUUGAAUGAUAAUUUUUUUUAUUUCCCGUAUUUAGUUCUUCAACAACAACAUAUUCGAGAUUUUAUUUUUCUAGAAUUUUUACAUAAAAGUAAAGUUUGUAUUUUUUAAAAUAAUUUUGAGUUUUUUAUAAUUUUUAUAUAGAAUCGAGGUAAAUUGGCAAAAAAAUUAUAAAAACAAAAUACUAAAAUUGUUUAGUUAAGUGACCAAAACGAAAAUCUACCCAUAGUUCAGUGACUAAUUAUGUAGUUUACCCUUCAUAAUUAAAAAAAUAGCUGUUAAGUUUUUCUUGUAUUAGAUAACAUUUUAGAUGGUAAAAACCCUCUUUAGUCCCUCUCAAUUUUGAUAUUAAGUAAAUUGAUCCAUUUUAAAAAAAAAAUCAAAGCAAUUUAAUCUUUGUUAAUUUCGAAAGUGAACAACUAAAGAUAAUUAAUCACAAUGUCAAUAUUUUCCAUCAAUUGUACAUAUUUUUAUUGGUAUAAUAACAAAUUUAGCUCUCGAAGUUUACACAUUCUGUCAAUUUGGUCUUGAUUUAACAAAUUUAGCCCGCAACAAUUACAUAUUCUAUUAACAUUUACACAUAAUAUAUAAACAUCGAGAGCUUAAUUUGUUAUUAUAUCUGUAAUACCCAAAUUUUGCCCGGCCCAAGCCCAAGUAUCAAAACCCAAAUAAAAAAUAUACAUAAUAAAAGUCCAAUAACAUCAGUCCAGAUUACAAACCAAAUAAAUUAAGCCCAAACUCGAUUACAAAGUCCAAAUUCCCAAGCACAAACUGUUAACCCAACACUCCAGCCCCAAAUUAUUAGCCCAAAAUCAAACCCACUAAGCCUAAUCAGCCAACCCUAACCCGAACGGCCUACAUACCUAGCCCUAAAACAUUUUCAAAAAAACCUAAAGCAACUAUUUGCCUCAGCCGCCGCAACAGUAGCCUCCCACACGCGCGCCUCUCAUUAUCUUGAAGUAUCUUUUUGAAAUUGAUUAUUAAUUUAUGGGGUGCUUAAUUAUUGAUAUUAGUAUUUGUAUGAUAUGACUAAAAUAAUUAUUGUUAUUUGCAUUUACCUAUUAUUUGUUUGUCUUCUUAAUGUAUGUUUGGGUUGUUAUUUAUCCUUUUCGUUAUGUAUUGCUAUUCAAUCAUGUUUCAUUUGUAAGAAUUGUAUUUUUAAAGCACAACAGAUCAUUCUAUUUCAUAAUUUUCAAAAAGGCCUGAUGUUCAUAGCUCUCGAGAGAAUUGUGCCCUAACUUACUGGGCUUCAAUUCUUCUCGAUGAAUUUGAAUAGCCAAGUGUUUAUUGUAUUAAAACCACACAACUUUUAAAAUAAAGUUUUCAAGAUUUUAAAUUGUUGGAUCCUAACUUACUGGAUGUGGCAUUUUGUUAUCCCAAUUUUAAAAUAAAGGCAAUGUUUGACGUUUAAGAACUUCGAGAAAUCGAAACCUAACUUACUGGAUUCUGAUUUCUCAUUUGACUUAAAUGACCGAAUAGCCUUCUCAAAAUGCAUGAAUUUUAAAAUUUGAAAAUUAAAAAGACAUACUUAAUUUUGACGAUUGAAUCGUUGCACUCUAACUUACUGAGUGUGGCAAUUUAUUUCUUUGAAAUGAGUGUGUUUUAUUAUUCAAAUUUAAACUUUAAAAGGAUCGUAUUUUUCGACACUAAGACAUUAAACAAUCGAUUCGGUACCAAUUUUGGGCGUUACGAGGGUACUAACCCUUCCUCGUGCGUAACCGACUCCCGAACCUAUUUUCUCAAAAUUCGUAGACCUAAAAUUAUUUUCAAGGUGAUCCGGUCACACCUCAACAAAAGAUCGGUGGCGACUCCCAUUUUCAUUUUCAAAGUCGAUUCCCAUUUUUAAAACAUAAAAAAUGGUUUCGGCAAUAUCAAUAAAAAUUAUGUACAAUUUACAGAAAGCAUUAACACAAUGAUUAAUUGUCCUUAGUUGCUCCCUUUCAAAAUUAAUAAUGAUUAAAUUGCUCUAAUUUUCUGAGAGGAACCAAUUUGUUCAAUAUAGAAAUUGAGAGGGACGAGAAAUGUGUUUUUAUCCAUUUUAGAUACCAACAAGUGUUUGGCGUAGUGGCAAGGCAUAUUACAUUCUCAAGGAGAGAAUGCGUAUUCAAACGUUGGAGAUAACAAUGUUGUGUGGGGUAUCCACGGAUUUGAACACGGACUAUAAAACAUAUAUAAAGAAUAAAAAGAAUAACAUCUUAAUUUAAAUAAUUAAUAAAUUUUAAUUUGAAAAAAGUAUUUUGAGAAACAUAAGUUUUAGUAAGUAGUAAAAUUGAAUCGAUAAAACAUGUCCAUUAUAUCAGAAUCAUAAAAAUACAACUUAAUUAAUUUGAAUUUAAACUUAACUCAACUCGAUUUUGAUUAUAAAGAACUGAUAAUUUGAAUCCAAAAUGACAUGAUCUUGAAAUGAUUUGAAUUAAUUGUCAAACCUGAACGACAAGACUCGAAAUGAUGCAAUCCAAAAACACAAAUAAAAUGAACUAAACUAUGAAAGAAAAAAAAAACCUUACACCGACUCAAAUCCAAAAUAAUUUAAUCAUAAAAUAACCCAAAUUUUAUAUAAUAUAAACUCGAAAUAACCCAAAAAUUUUUAAAUUAAAAUUGACCCGACCCAAAUUCACACCACCUAAAAUCAAUCGUAACCACCUAAUUAAAAAGCAUGAAAUGAAAUGAUGUAAAGAGAAAAUUAGAGAAAACCAAAUAGAAAGUAACAAGCUUUUUUCAGAAUUGAAAGCAAAUUCCGUACAUUCACGACAUGCAUAAAACAACAAUGGUUUAUAGAAUUUGAGUUUUAGUCCCUGUACUUUAAAAGUUAAUUUUUCUUAAUUUAAAAAUUUUAGUUUAAUCAUUCAUGUUGGUUGUAGUUUCCAUUAGCUUAAUCAACAUGUUAAAUUAUUAAAUUUUGAUAUAAAAUAUUUACGAGUUUAAUAAUUAUACUGAGAUUUUUAAAUAAAAAAGUUGGAAGACUUAAUUUCUAACAUUUUAAAUAUAGGGACUAAAAGCAUCUUUUAACUUUGAUAUUAUUAUUAUAAGCAGGGAUAAUGUCAUCUUUGGCAUCUGUACUUUUAUAAAAUGUCUAGUGGUACAAGUACUUUGAAAAUAUAUAAUGUGGUACCUGAACUAUCAAUAUGUGUUAUUAUUAUGGUACAUGUACUUUGAAAAUGUUUAAUGUGGUACCUAAACUAUCAAUAUAUAUUUUAUUAUGAUACUUGAUAAAGAUGGACUAUUAUUGGUAGCUUAAGGGGCUCUUUGUCCCGCCAUCCCUGCAAAAAAAAAAUUGGAGAAUUUUGUUUUUUCCUUUAAAAUUUUUAGAAAAUUUCAAUUAAGCCCUCAAAAUUUUUGAAAAUUUUCAUUAUACCUUUUAAUUUUUUAAAAAAUUUUAAUUAAGCACUCUUAAAUUUUGAAAAUUCUCAUUAAUCUCACAAAAAUUUUAAUUUUUUUAAAAAAAAUAUUAUUAAACCAUUAAAUUUUUAGAAAAUUUUACCUGCCCCCUCCCCCAAAAAAAAACCUAGUCCCAACCCCUAGGAUCCGCCAUUGGUACUUGGUAUUAACACUGUUAGAAAAUUGCUAAAUAAACCAAUGAAAAUUUGACACAUAGAACCCUUUUUUUAAUUAUCAAGUCCACGUGGAUAAAAUAAUAGUGAAAAACUAAAUAAAACAAUAAUUAAAUGAAAUAAAAAAACAAAUAACUAAACAUAUGGUUAAUAAAAAAAAGCCGUACUUUCAAAGAUAAUAAAAAAUAUUAUUUAAAAAUCAAUUGAAAAUAUUAUUUUAAAAGGAAAACUCUUUGGAGAAGAUGAUCAUUUGCUUAAAUGGAGAAUAUAAUAUUUUUGGUUAUGCAAGUUUAGUAUUUACUUCUUUUUUAUUAAUCAUAUGUUUAGUUUUUUUAAUUAAUUUAAUUGUUUUAUUUAGUUUUUCACAUAAUGUUAUUUUACACAUGCGGACUUGAUGAAUUAGAAAAAAAUAUUACGUGUUAAAUUUUCAUUGGUUGGUCUAAUAAUUCAUUAACGGUGGAUUUGUUCUACAUUGAUGACAAAGAUGUGGAGUUUAAAGAAGUAAGAACUUAUCAACAAUAUUCGAGGUUCUGUUGUAUGUUGCCUUAUUAAAGAAGUCUUCACUUAAAAUCUUCUAUGUUGCCUUAUGUAUGUAGGUUCUUGAGUCACCUUUGCCAAAAGCACCACAUGAUACAUCUGUUACAUCCCACUGGCUUGCGAUUUAAGGCAUUCAACCAGUAAUUCCAGAAAAUGCUUCAAUUGAAGGUACCGUCUUAGCUAACCUAAAUAUUCUCUCGAAGCUAUUUGUGUUGAAGACUCUCAUGGUUCAUGUUCUUUUCUGGUUUUAUCACUUUAAUCUAAUACGAGUUAUCUUCAUUUCUACAUGGAAUUGGUAUUUUGCUUUCCAUGCAGCACCUUCUGAUGGUAAAAAGGCUGAAUACAAAGAAGAUGGGCUUUCCGUUGAUGUCAAAUUAUUUGUUAAACAUGUAUUAUCUAGAGAGCUUCAAGUAUGUUGUACAUCUUCAGCAACAUUUUUAUGUUAAAAUACAUUUUGCACAGAAUGAUAUUAAAAGACUAAUUUGGUUGUCAUGCAGCUUUACUUUGACAAGAUCGUGGACAUUACCAUGAAUAAAUCAGUAUCAAUUCUCUUUAAACAAGCAUUACUGAGUUUGGCAACAGACUCGGGAUUACAUCCUUUAGUUCCUUAUUUUACAUAUUUCAUUGCGGAUGAGGUUGUCUUAAAGAUCUUUCAUACCUCAUUAUAUAUGUGUGUUGCAAAGAACUUUUGGUUGGUUAUCUCAAGCUUACAUUUUUGCCACAUUUAUCUCAGGUUGCACGGAAUUUGAAUAAAUUCCCUCUCAUGUUUGCUUUGAUGCGUGUUGCCCGGAGUCUUCUCGAGAAUGAACACUUACACAUAGAACCUUACGUGAGUUUAUUAUUUCAAUCAUUUAGAAGUACACGAACUAAUGCAAAUAUGCUAGUGGUUUAUUUUCCACCUAUCUGAUUUUUUAAAAUGUUCUUCAGUUACACCAGUUGAUGCCAUCUAUUAUUACCUGCCUUGUUGCAAAAAGGUUAGGAAAUAAAUUCACCGACAAUCAUUGGGAACUUAGAAACUUUGCAGCAAAGCUAGUGGCAUCAAUAUGCAAAAGGUGAAGAUUUCUUUUCUUUUGGACUUAUACAUGCAUAUUCGUUUUUAUGAAUUUCAGGUGUCGAGUUUUUAGUUAUAAACUUGGACCUAUUCUUCAAAUCAUGUGUAUAUCAUUUUUAUGCUAUUUCACACAUGCAAAACAAAUGGUGCAAGCAUGCAUGUUAUAUGCACAGAAUUGUUGAAAGCUGGACUGCAAUGCAACAUGGAGCCAGAAGCAUGCAACUGUCGAGACCAGCAGCUAUCAAGCUCAGCUCAUUUUGCUUGGAGCGCACGAAUGGUUUUUGGACCAAAUGAAGCAACUGACAUUGCUGUUUUGUUUUGAUGUAAUUUAGUUCAGUUUGAUUGUAACUAGCUUUAAUAGUUAGUAGGAUUAAGUUAGUGAUUAGAUAGCUGAUGUAAAAGCUGAUAUGGCAGCUCAUUUUGUAUUUGACUUUAACUUAUUUUGGUUGUAAAUUAGUGGAUGCAGUUAGAUUAGUAGGUAACUAUCAAAUGAACAAAUUGUAACUCCUUUUUAUUUCAAAAAAUUUUGGAUGAAACGUAAUAAUGUUCAGUUACAAUUCUGGCUGUACAUUCAAGUUUCUUGCUUGCUGCUCUGCUUGUUUUUCUUUUCUGCUUCGUUUACUCUUGCUUCUGCUUGCAAAUCUCUUUGUUGCUGCUGCCAUUGUUCCAACAAGAAUACAUAGAUUAAUUACGUGUGGAUCAUUAAGAAUGCCUAUGUAUUGGAAAUUGGCCAACCAUGCUGCUGUUACAUUUUGUGUUGAAGUGCAUGCAGCUUGAUGACAUGCUGCAGCACAUAUGCUUGCUGUAACAGCAAGGUUUCUCUUUAGUUUCAUCCUAAUUAAACUAGUUGAAAAUGAACAAGUUGAUGACAACUUGAUGCAUGAGGUGUUGAAUGAUUAGUUUAGGUGGCUUGUUUAUGUGUACAAGCAAUGUUUUAAUAGUCCCAAUGCUGAUUAGUGGGGUUAGUUGACUAUUUGGUGAUGUAUUUGACUAUAAAUGUAUGUUUUUUUUCGUUGAAUGAAUGAGCUGAAUAAGCUAUCAGCCAUAUGCUCCCUUGCUGCACAUUUGUGAGCAAGUAAAAAUACUUCUUGCAUCUUGCUUCAUUGUUCUGUGCUCUCUGUUCUCUUCUUUUGCUGCUGCCAAUGCUCCAACACUAUGUUUGACCAUUGUGUGUGGCUACUUUUUUUUUACAUGAUCCAAUUUUCGAUAUGAUAUGCUUUGCUUUUAGGUUGAAUGCGGAAAAGAUUAGAACUUAAUUUCCAGCAUAAUGAUUUGUCUUGGAUAUGCAGAUUUUUACAUGCAUUUCUUAAAAGUCAAUAUUUUAUAGAUUCGGGCAUGUUUAUCACAACCUUCAGCCACGUGUGACAAGGACACUGCUCCACGCUUUUUUGGACCCAACGAAAACAUUUCCCCAGCAUUACGGAGCAAUUCAAGGGUUAGCAUGUUAGAAAUCAAACCCACUCCAAGCAUAAUCUAGAAGCAUGAGACGUGGAGCAAUUUUGUGCCAUGCAAAGUGCUGAAAUUUUAGCCAUACAAAGUGCUCCAUUAUUGAGAUGUUUUGUGGCUGGAAAUUAAGUGGAUUAAUAGCCACAUUUGUUGUCACUUUAUCAGCCUAUAAAUAGAGGCUUGAACUUGUGUUGUAAAAAAGAAGAAAAAUGAGAAGAAAAAAGAAAUAAGAGAAGCAACGUGAGUGAGAGUGAGAAGGUUAGCAAACCUUGAGUGAGUUAAAAUCUAGCAGCAGCUAGACUAUCUAGUCAUUGAGAAAAUAUUUGUAAUCUUCGUAUUGUAAUAUAUUGAGUGUGUAAUAAAAAGUAAAUUUUCGGCCCAUCACGUUUCCAACAAGUGGCAUCAGAGCUACGGUUCGGAGCUUGGUUCGGAGUUCGGUUCGUGUCCGGUUCGUGUCCAGUUCGGAGUACCUUUGGUGUUCAUCUAACAAGUCGAUAUGGGCGACGUAAUUCAGCUACAAGUUCCACAAUUGACGAAGACAAAUUAUGGAAAUUGGAGCAUUCGAAUGAAGGCUUUGCUCGGUUCGCAAGAUUGUUGGGAGAUCGUUGAAAAAGGAUACAUCGAGCCCGGAGAUGCCGCUACAGAAGCAGCUUUAUCAAAUGACGCUAAGAAGGCGUUACGAGAAGCACGAAAGAAGGAUCAAAAGGCCUUGAAUAGUAUCUUUCAAGGUAUGGAUGAAUCAACCUUCGAGAAAAUAUCAGAUGUGAAGAACGCGAAGAAUGCAUGGGAGAUUUUGCAAAAAUCAUUUCAAGGUGUAGAAAAAGCUAAAAAGGUACGCCUUCAGUCACUUAGAGCUGAAUUUGAAAUGUUAAAAAUGAAGAGCUCCGAGAAUAUCGAUGACUAUGCCAAUCGUGUAAAAUCGGUGGUAAAUGAAAUGAAACGAAAUGGAGAAACUCUUGACGAGGUAAGAAUGAUGGAGAAAAUUCUACGGUCACUCACACGCAAAUUCGAGUACGUAGUCGUUGCCAUCGAAGAAUCAAAAGAUUUGUCAAAGAUGUCGCUCGAAGAACUUGUGGGUUCUCUGCAAGCCCAUGAGCAAAAGAUGAAGCUAAAUGAAGAUAGUGAAAAUCUUGAUCAAGCCUUGCAUAGCAAGUUGUCCGUCGACGACGGAGAAACAAGUAAUAACUUUAACCAAGGAAGAGGAAACCGCAGAGGAUACCGUGGAGGCUACCGUGGUGGAAACAGAGGAGGAAGAGGAUCACGAGGACGUGGAAAUCAAUCAUAUGGGAGAUAUCAAGAAAAUAAAGAUUAUCAAACAUCCAACCGUGGACGUGGAUCUAGAGGUCGUGGCCGAGGCAGAUUUCAAGAAAAUAAAUCUCAGGUACAAUGCUACAACUGUAACAAGUAUGGACAUUUCAGUUACGAGUGCAGAUCAACACACAAAGUGGAUGAAAGAAACCAUGUAGCAGUCAUAGCAGAAGGCAACGAAAAAGUGGAAUCAAGUGUCUUUCUCACUUACGGAGAAAAUGAAGAUCGCAAGAGAAGUGUGUGGUAUCUCGACAACGGUGCAAGCAACCACAUGUGUGGAAGAAAGGAGCUGUUCACAGAAUUAGAUGAAACAGUUCAUGGACAAAUAACUUUUGGAGACAACUCACAUGCAGAAAUCAAAGGAAAGGGCAAGGUUGUUAUAACACAAAGGAAUGGAGAGAAGAAGUACAUCUCAGACGUUUACUACGUACCAGCUUUGAAGAGCAACCUGAUCAGUCUUGGUCAACUCCUAGAAAAAGGAUAUGAAGUUCAUAUGAAAGACCGCUCACUCGCCAUCAGGAACAAAAGUGGAGAAUUAGUUGUUCGAGUUGAUAUGACGCGAAAUCGUCUUUUCACCCUCGACAUCGAGUCUGGAGAAGUAAAAUGCAUGAAGACGGAUCUGAAGAAUGAAUCAUGGUUGUGGCACUUAAGGUACGGACAUCUCGGAUUUUCUGGCUUGAAGCUGUUGUCGAAGACAAAUAUGGUGAAUGGAUUACCAAGUAUUAAUCAUCCAGAUCAACUGUGUGAAGCCUGUGUCAAAGGAAAGUAGCAUAGGCAGAAAUUUGAAGUAGGAAAAUCUCGAAGAGCUAGAAGACCAUUGGAAAUUGUACACACCGACAUAUCUGGUCCGUACGACAUUGAAUCACUCGGUGGAAACAGGUACUACCUAACUUUUAUUGAUGAUUAUAGCAGAAAAUGUUGGGUUUAUUUUCUCAAAGCAAAAUCGGAAGCCCUAGAAAAAUUCAAGGAGUUCAAAGCAAUGGUGGAAAAACAGAGUGGUCGAUAUUUGAAGAUACUCAGAUCCGAUAGAGGAGGCGAGUAUACUGCAAAGCUUUAUGAAAGUUUCUGCAAAGAUCAUGGAAUCAUUCAUCAGUUAACAGCCAGACGCACUCCACAACAAAACGGAGUUGCAGAAAGGAAGAAUCGGACAAUUCUGGAUAUGGCAAGAAGCAUGAUAAAAGGUAAACACCUUCCGAGAAAUUUCUGGGCUGAAGCCGUUGAAUGCGCAGUUUAUCUGUUGAAUCAAUGUCCAACAAAAAGUGUAAGACACAAGACACCAGAAGAAGCAUGGAGCGAUCACAAGCCAAGAGUUGGACACCUCAAAAUUUUUGGAUGCAUUGCAUAUGCACACGUUCCUGAGCAACAGAGGAAAAAGCUUGACGAUAGAGGAGAGAAGUGUAUCUUUAUAGGCUAUGACAAAAGAAGUAAGGCCUACAGACUUUAUAAUCCUCUUACUAAGAAAUUGAUUAUCUCAAGAGAUGUCGAGUUCGAUGAAGCGGAUUACUGGAGAUGGAGUGAAGAAGAAAAGAAAGUGGAAGGAUUAUUUUUCAACGAAGACGACAAUGAUGUCAUCAACCAAGAAGAACAAGGCGAUGAUCAAAGUCCUGGUACAACAGCCCCUUCGUCACCAACCAGCAGCAGCGGAAGCAGCAGCUCAGAUGAAGCACCCACAAGAACACGGAGUCUCAACGACAUCUACAAUUCUACGGAACCUGUAGAGACGCAGUUCGAUUAUUCACUAUUCUGUCUAAUGACAGAAUGUGAUCCAGUGACAUACGAAGAAGCAAUUGAAGACAAUAAAUGGAAGAAGGCCAUGGACGAGGAGAUUGCUGCAAUAAGAAGGAAUGACACGUGGGAGCUAACAAGUCUGCCAGAAGGACAUAGCCCGAUUGGUGUCAAGUGGGUGUACAAGACGAAGACCAACAAAGAAGGAAAAGUAGAGAAAUACAAGGCAAGACUAGUCGCCAAAGGCUACAAGCAAAGACAAGGAGUGGACUAUGAUGAAAUAUUUGCUCCAGUCGCAAGAAUAGACACAAUUAGGCUUCUCAUAGCGGUCGCAGCACAAUACAAAUGGAAAAUCUAUCAGAUGGACGUCAAGUCUGCAUUCCUGAAUGGCUACUUGGAGGAGGAAGUCUACAUAGAACAACCACCUGGAUAUAGCAUACAAGGAAAGGAGGACAAAGUCUACCGAUUAAAGAAAGCUUUGUAUGGAUUGAAGCAAGCCCCAAGAGCAUGGAACACAAGGAUCGACGAGUACUUCCGAAGAAAUGGAUUCAUCAAAAGCCCGCACGAGCACACCCUGUACACAAAGAAGAAUGGAUAUGGAGAUAUCAUGAUCGUAUGCCUAUAUGUGGAUGACAUGAUCUUCACCGGAAACAAUCCAGGUAUGUCUGAUGAUUUCAAGAAAGCUAUGACUAAAGAAUUUGAAAUGACAGAUAUCGGUGAGAUGUCAUACUUUCUUGGAGUCGAGGUGAAACAAAUGCAAGAUGGAAUUUUUGUCUCUCAAAAGAAGUAUGCGGAGCAGAUUUUGAACAAGUUCAAAAUGAAGGAUUGCAAGCCAGUAGUCACGCCAGCUGAUCCAGGGAUGAAGCUAAGUGUUGAUUCGACAAGGGAGUCGAUAAAUCCGACGUUGUUUAAAAGUCUCGUUGGAAGUUUAAGGUAUUUGACAAUCACACGACCAGAUAUUACAUAUGCAGUAGGAUUGGUGAGCAGAUUCAUGGAGAAGCCGAAGCAAGACCACUUAAUUGCCGCAAAAAGAAUUUUGAGAUAUAUCAAAGGUACGAUGAACCAUGGUUUAUUCUAUACCCACUCACAAGAUUCAAAAUUAGUUGGCUACUCAGAUAGCGAUUAUGGGGGAGACUUGGAUGAUCGGAAAAGCACUUCCGGAUAUGCAUUCCACAUCAAUUCCGCAGUUUUUUCAUGGUCGUCAAAGAAGCAACAAACAAUUGCUCUCUCAACAUGUGAAGCAGAGUAUAUGGCCGCAGCAACUUGUACAUGCCAAGCAAUGUGGUUGAAGAAUAUUUUGGGAGAAAUAGGUGUUUCAAAUGAAGGUCCAAUUACCAUCUACGUUGACAACAAAUCCGCUAUAUCACUUGCCAAGAAUCCGGUGUCGCACAGCCGAAGCAAGCACAUCGAUACGAAGUAUCAUUUUAUCCGAGAGCAAGUGAAAAACAAAAACGUGGAGUUGGUCCAUUGCAGGACAGAAGAUCAACUGGCAGAUAUUUUCACAAAGCCGUUGAAAGUGGAGACAUUCAACAAAUUCAAAGAGAAGCUCGGUAUGAAAGUUGGGUUUGAGGGGGAGUGUUAGAAAUCAAACCCACUCCAAGCAUAAUCUAGAAGCAUGAGACGUGGAGCAAUUUUGUGCCAUGCAAAGUGCUGAAAUUUUAGCCAUACAAAGUGCUCCAUUAUUGAGAUGUUUUGUGGCUGGAAAUUAAGUGGAUUAAUAGCCACAUUUGUUGUCACUUUAUCAGCCUAUAAAUAGAGGCUUGAACUUGUGUUGUAAAAAAGAAGAAAAAUGAGAAGAAAAAAGAAAUAAGAGAAGCAACGUGAGUGAGAGUGAGAAGGUUAGCAAACCUUGAGUGAGUUAAAAUCUAGCAGCAGCUAGACUAUCUAGUCAUUGAGAAAAUAUUUGUAAUCUUCGUAUUGUAAUAUAUUGAGUGUGUAAUAAAAAGUAAAUUUUCGGCCCAUCACGUUUCCAACAUAGCAUCCCUUGGACCCAGUGUGGUAUAAUUCUAAUCUCAAAUAUUUACUAGCAACACAAUAAGAUACUGGUUUGUGGGAUCAAUUGGUCAAAGAUAUUGCAAUGAUAGCCAUCUUUUUAAGUCCAUUUCUUUCAGAAAACUGUUUUGUCACUCUUUUCUGCAAGAUCCGAAGAAAGAAAGAACUUGGAAAUCUAUAGUCCAAAAGUGUAAAUAUGCGGUUUCUCUAUAGGUAUCUUUAUUAUGGCAUCUGUAAAGUUUGUCUUUCAUAUGUUUGAGUAACGCUUCUUCUUCCAUAUGUAGGUUCGUUUACUUAUACUACCAAAUCUUGAAGCGUAUUUGCAGCUUUUUGAACCUGAAAUAAAAAGACACGAGGCCUGGUGUGUUUAUGGGGCACUGCUGGUAAGUUUAACAUCAAAUUUGGUACCAGUUUAUGAGCAUCGUUUCAUUUAUUUGCUGUAGAACUAACAACACUGCAUAAAAUUUCCACUAACAGCGUGCAGCUGGACUGUGCAUGUAUGAUCGGCUUAAAAUGUUACCCAGUUUGCUAGCACCCUCAACUCGUCCCGUCUGGAAAAGCAACACCAAAGUUGCGACAAGUAUGAUUUCUUCGAACCAUCAUAUUUACACUUAAUCCACAAAUCUCUUCUCCCCCUUUACGAUAUUCCUUUUUCUGAUCAAUCAAGAUAAACGAAAAGCAAGCACGGACACCUUGAUGCAGCAGCAACCAACUGCCAAGAAAAUAGCAACUGAGAGUGCAAUAGGUAUGAUGCCGAUAAAUUCCAUGCAAACUGAUUUACAAGGGGCAGUUAGCGGCUUUUCUACCACCGUAGGAGGUUCCAGUAUCUGUGUAUCAUCAAUGUCACGGCCGUUAUCAAACGAUAACAUGCUUGGAAGGGAGGUUGGGGGUCGAGUUUCAAAGACAUCAACCGUUCUAGCUCAGGCUUGGAACCGGGGAACUUGUUAGCAUCAUUAUUUGAACUUUUUGGUGAAAGUAUGUUAUCAUUUACUCCCAAACCUGAGCUUUCAUUCUUCCUUUGAUUAAAUUUCACCUCCAAAAGCUAUGGUUUUUGAAGGAAUUUGUGUAAUUAAUCCCCAUAGUUUUUUUCAGUCUUACUGUGUUUAUCUUUAUAAGUCUUCUUUCUUUUUUUUCCUUGCUCAUAAAUGUAUUGUAGUUAUCAAAAAAUAUAUUCUACUUUGGAUUUUAUUUAUAUUAAAUUUUACGUUAAAUUCUGCUAUUAGUCUCUGUACUUUACGAAAAUGAUGGAUUUAGUCCUUAUACCUUAAUUUGAUCAAUUUUAGUCAUUGUAUUUUUUGAAUUGGUCAAUUUUAAACUAUCUACCUUUUAAAUUUUGAAAUUUUAGUCUUGACCCAAAUAAUAAUAAUAAUAAUAAUUAAAUCUGCUUAUUUAAAUUCAAUUAUUAGUUUUGUAUUAUGUAGACAGAUAUAGAUUUAAUCCAUAUUUUUCAAUUGGGUCAUUCCAAGUCUUUAUACUUUUCAAAUUUUGAAAUUUCAAUAUUGAUGCAGAACGAGAGUUGUUAUUAAUUAAUUGAUUAUUUAGCAAGUAUAUGUAGAAAUAACAAGUUGGCAUGUCAUUAUACUUAAAAAAAUAUAUUGGCUUAACCCACCUAAAUUAUGUCUUUUUUUCCAUCUUCGGACCUCAAUUUUUUUAGGGUCAUAAGUGGUACCUAAACUACUUUUUUUCUCCUUCAAAUUAGUAUCUUCAUUAGUUAAACCGUUAAGUCUAUUUAAAAAAGAAAGACUCGAACAACAAAUUAAUACCUAAAACAAUGCUCUUUUUCCCAAUGUAUCUAAUUUUUAUUUUGGCCAUAAGUACUACUAAAACUAUUCUUCCGUUACUCGUUUUACACAAAAUGUUAUAUCGGCUAAAAAGAUUGCAACAAAUAAUAGAUUGUAUGUCAUAUAAACUUUUAAAAAUAAUUAUUAAUUAAUUAUUUUUUAUAUUUUUCUUUCUUAUUCCUUUAUAAUGUUUGACAAUGCCGAUAAUGUUUGAAAUUGGCCCACUUGAGGUCGAAACGCUGGUGAUUAAUUUUGGUUUUGAAUUUCACCACCUAUUUCUCUGACCUGAGGGGAUAAAAAAUGUUCUUUCAUUGAUCAAAACUAGUGUUUUCAAAAACAGACUGAUUCAACCGGAAAUAGGGGUUGAAUCAUUGACUUGCGAGCAAAAACAAAUCAGUUGAACUAAGCUAAAAAAAACUAGUUGAACUAGUUCUCUCUAUUUAUAUAUAUAAAAAUAAUAAUAGUCUUUUUUUUAUUACAUGUCAAUUUUUAUUUGGUUAUUUUUUUUUCAUAUAAACUGAACGGUUUGACUAAUGACGGAGGUACCAAAUUAUAGUCUAGGUACCAAUUUAUGGGUUAAGCCUAUUUCUAAAAUAGACUUUUGACUAAUGGCGGUAGUAACUUGGGAAAAAAAAGUAGUUUAUGUACCACUUGUGACCAAAAAUAAGUUUAGGUACCAACAUCGUAAAAUGAGUAUAAUUUAGAUACCGAUUUAUGAGUUAAGCCUAAUAUAUUUGUCGCAUCAUUUUUUAAAAAUAACAGAACUUAAUAAAUUUAACGAUUAUUGUUUGAUGAUGACUAAAAUUUUAAAAUUUGAAAAGUACAUGAACUAAAAAUGACCAAAUUAAAGUAUAAAGAUUAAGUCCACAACUUUUGCAAAGUACAAGGACUAAUAGCAGAAAUUAACCUAAAUUUCAUAUGGGUCAAUUACAAAAAUAAUCACUAAGCUAUUCCUUUGGUUCUAUUCUAGUCAUUCAACUAUAGAGGUGCUCAUGAGUUGGGCCAGGUCAGGCCUAAGGAUGAUAUUAACGUACUUUAUACUUGCUCAAGCUUGGCUCGGCCCGAAAUAUGAGCUUAAAUUUUCACCUAAACUCAUCCAUAUUUGCAAAAGACUAACGCAAGCUCAUUUUAGGCAUGCUUAUAUAAUUUUUAGUUUUUGUUUAAAUAUUUAUAUUAUAUUAUUUUAAUAUUUAAUAAUUUAAACAUUUUUUAUUUAUUGAAAAUUUUUAUAUAGUCAUCUAAUUAACAUUAUUUUAAUGUUUACAUUAUAGUAUUAUUAUAUAUUUAAUAUAAGUUUAUUUUUUAAUCUGUUCUAAAUUUUAUAAUAUAAAGUAUUAUACACUUAAAAAUGGGCCGGGCUGGGCUCGAGCUUUGAAUGUUCAAGCCUGAACCCAGCCCAAAUUUUAAACGGGCCUAUUUUUUUUUUACCCAAACCUAAUUUUUGGGCCUAAUAUUUUUAUCCAGACCCUCCCAAAUUUUUGGACCUUGCCAAGUAGCCCAACUCAUUAACAAGUUUACUCAACUAUUAAUUUUUUCGAUUUAGUUGUUAACCUUUUCGAAAGUAAAUAUUUUAGUCACUCUCCUGUUAGUUGUUGCUAAAUGAGUGACGGAAAGCUAAUGUGGGUUUUUUUUAUUAGUCUAAUAACAAAUUUAGCCCUAAAUGUUAACAAAACUUGUCAUUUUAGUUCAAAUUCUAAAAAUUUUAAUAAAUUUAACCCUUAAUAUUUUCAAAAAUUAGCAAUUUAGUUCUAAUUCUAAAAAUUUUAAUAUAUAUUUAAAAAAAUAUUUUUAAUCCUCUGUCUCACCCUUUGAUUUUUUUAGAUGAGCUAAAAUCAAAACAUAUCGUUAUAUCUUUUUGUUUUAAUGCUAAAAGAGAUAAAAAAAAUGAAAAGCUAAAAUGACUUUUCGUUUGUAAAGUUAAAAAAUGCUAAAUAAAUCAUUAUGUCUUUUUAGUUUUAAUUUUUUACUUGAUUAAAAGAGAAAUAAUUAACGAAUAAAAAAUAAUUAUUCCCAAAUAAAUUUAUCAAAAUUUAUAAUAAAUGAGAUUUUGAAUUUAUCAAAAUAUAUAUAAGUAUACACAUUUUUAUGAAAUAUAAGAUUUUGCUAAAAGAAAAAGCAUACAAAAGUAUACACCUUUUUAUGAAACACAAGAUUUUGCUAAAAGAAAAAUAUAUGGUAAAAGGAAGACUAAGUGGUGGUUAAAAAAUACAAAAAAUUUUGAAAAUCUAAUAUCCAUAACUUUUCAAUGUAAAAGAAAAACAGACUGUAACACCAAUGUUGUGGUUUUAUUUGUUGCCUAUAAAUGCCAUUCCUAUCCUUCAUCUUCCUCUACCAACAUAACAUGGCCUCCUAUCUCUUUCUCUGCCUAUUCCUCUUCUUUCCCCAUCUUUAUGCUUCUUUUUCUUCUUCAGGAUCUCACUCCUGCUCUUCACUAACCCAGUUCAAGAAUUCUUUUUCCAUCACUCAGACAGAGGGUGCUUCUUUGUCUUGCAAUGAGAUUGCUGGCCUUAAAUCUUAUCCCAAGACAAAUUCAUGGAAGGAGGGUACAGAUUGCUGCUCAUGGGAUGGGGUCACUUGUGACCACCUAAAUGCUCAUGGUAUUGCCCUUGACUUGAGCUGCAGUUGGCUAUAUGGCAACUUCCCUCCCAAUACCACUCUCUUCCUUCUUCCUCACCUUCAAAAACUCAACCUUGCCUUCAAUGAUUUUAAUCUUUCCAAAAUUCCAUCCGAGUUCGGUGGGUUUACAAGCCUAUUCUACCUCAACCUUUCUCAUACAGGGUUUGCAGGACAAGUCCCAUCCCAAGUCUCCCACCUGUCAAAAUUGGUUUCACUUGAUAUCUCCUCUUCGAUUUAUGACUAUGAGAAAUUUACAAUUGACAAACAUGCUCUGGAGGGACUUGUUCACAACCUAUCCGAGGUCAGACAUCUGUUUUUGGAUGGAAUGGACAUGUCUUCUGUUAAUGCUCAUGUCUUCAUGAAUCUAUCCUCUUCUCUAAGGUCUCUCAGUCUUGCUUAUUGUGAUUUGCAAGGAAAAUUCCCAAAAAACAUUUUUGAUUUGCCAAACCUCAAUCUCCUCAACUUGGGAAGCAACCCAAUCCUCAGUCUUGAUCCUUUGAAGUUGAAUCGGAGCAGCAAUCUUGAACAUUUGGAUCUGUCGUCCAUGUCCUUCUCUACAGAAUUCAUUGAUUCAGUUGAUAAUCUACAGGCCUUAAAGUACUUAGAUCUAUCAGGACAUUUUUUCUCUCAACGAUUGUCUGUCUCAAAAACAAAAUCGGGGUACUUGUUUACUGGAGACGCAAAUUUUUUUGGAGGAUUGCCUGACUCGAUGGGGAAUCUUGUGUCUUUGAAGUUUUUAGAUCUCUCCUAUUCCAACUUAUCAGGAACGGUUCCAAGAUCACUGGGGAAUCUCUUGCAACUCACUCAUUUAGACUUGUCGGGGAACCAAUUUAGUGGACAAAUUCCAUCGUCAAUUCUAAACCUAACGCAGUUGGAAUACUUGAAAAUAUCUGAAAAUUCAUUAGAAGGUUCCAUUCCAGAUGAGGUAACCGCUUUUCCUAAUUUAAUAUAUUUAUACUUAGAUAACAAUUUACUUAAUGGAAUACUUCCGUCAUGGUUGUAUACUGCUCCCCCCUUAAAGAGAAUAGAUCUCUCUAAAAAUCAAUUCAGUGGACAUAUCAAAGAAUUCCAAUCCAAAUCACUAGAAUUGAUAUGGUUAGAGAAUAAUAAACUCCAAGGUCCUCUUCCAUCUUCAAUAUUCCAACUUCUCAAUCUUACCGGACUCAAGUUAUCCUCAAAUAAUCUUAGUGGUGUCAUAGAGUUUAGCAUGUUCUCAAACCUUCCAAAUCUCGAAUAUCUUGACCUUUCAUAUAACAGCCUAUCCUUAACAUCUAAUACUACUUCUACUGUUAAUCUUACAAGCUUAUUUUUGUCAUCUUGCAAUCUUAGUGAAUUCCCCCAAUUUUUGAAAGGGCUUAAAAGUUUGGAAAGCUUAGACCUCUCUUGCAACAAAAUUGAAGGCAAGAUUCCACAGUGGAUGCAAGAGGUGGGGAAUGGCUCUUUGACUUACUUAAAUGUAUCUCACAACUCUUUGACAGAAGUUGAGCACUUUCCAUGGAAUAAUAUUGCAGUUCUUGACUUAAGCUCCAAUUUGAUCCGUGGAAAUCUUCCGAUUCCAGCUUCGACCAUAAGAGUCUUUUUGAUCUCAAAUAAUAGUUUCAAUGGAGAGGUCUCUUCUUUAAUAUGCAAUGCCACUUAUCUUCAAAUUCUUGAUUUGUCCCACAAUUACUUGAGUGGAUCAAUUCCGCAAUGUUUUGGAAAUUUGAGCUACUGGCUUGAAUUCUUGAAUCUGAAGAAGAAGUUUUAUGGGACGAUUCCUCCAGCAUUCGCAAAGGGAUGCCAAUUGAGUAAUUUCAACUUAAAUGGAAAUCUGUUAGAAGGGCCUUUGACACCAUCCAUCCUUAAUUGUAGAGGUCUGGAAGUGCUAGAUCUUGGUAACAACAAGAUCAAUGAUACAUUUCCUCAUUGGUUGGGCAGUCUUCCAUUUUUGCAAGUUCUUGUAUUGAAGGCUAUCAUAAAUCUAGAGAAGAUUGGGAGUACAAUGUCGUACAUGGGGGUGAAUUGUCCUGGAAGUGGCUUCUAUACCUAUUCCAUUGGAAUUGUUAUGAAAGGACAAGAUAUGGACUUGGUGAAAAUUUUCACCAUGUGGAUGAUCAUUGAUCUAUCAAACAAUCAGUUUGAAGGGGGUAUUCCAGAGGUUUUUGGGAAGCUUAACUUACUGAAAGGGCUCAACCUUUCUCAUAAUAACCUUAAUGGUGGUAUCCCCACCUCAAUAGGGAAUUUGACAAGUCUUGAAUGGUUGGACCUAUCUUCAAACAGGUUGUCUGGGACGAUUCCAAAUAGAUUGGCAGAUCUGCCAUUUCUUUCGUCCUUCAAUGUUUCUGAAAAUAAACUCCAUGGUCAGAUUCCUCAAGGCAAACAGUUAAACACAUUUGGAAAUGAUUCAUAUGAAGGAAACAAGGGAAAAUAAACUCCAUGGUCAGAUUCCUCAAGGCAAACAGUUCAACACAUUUGGAAAUGAUUCAUAUGAAGGAAACAAGGGAUUAUGUGGAUUUCCGGUCUCAAAAGGUUGCAACAUCAUUGAGCCACCACCUCCAAAUGUGCUUGAAAAAGAUGGCUCAAAAUCAAACAUUACUUUUGGUUGGAAAGUGGUGUUGAUAGGUUAUGGAUGCGGAGUGGUGUUCGGAAUGUCCGUGGGAUAUGUUGUUUUCCAAACUGGUAAGCCGAAAUGGUUGGUGAAUUUGUUGAAAUCCAACAUGAGAAGAAGCGAAGAAGAAAGUCAAAGGAUGGCAGUCGCAGAAAUGGACGAAGAAGGAUCUAGUUAGUGGAAAUGAUGUUCAAGUGUUGAUGUUGUAUCUUCAUAAUUUCUUGUUUUGAAGUCUUUCAAUUUUUUUCCUAUGGUGAAAGGUUGCAUUGGCAUGCAUCUGUCUUUGUUAUUGUGACAAUUCAUCUAUAUUUCAUUGCAUUACAUAGUAUUUGUAAGGGUUUGUUUUAAAUGUAACAUUUUGUAUGGUUCAACUAUUUAUGUCUUCUUUCAUGACUUUCAUUUUUGAGUCUCAAUAAUCUCUGCAUUCAAGAUUUUGUCAGCUUAUUAAUUGGUAAAAAUUAUAUGAAUAAACUUUUAUAAAUAUAAAUAUGAAUAAACUUUUAUAAAUAUAAAGUGUAAUUUAUGAGUCGAGUUAUUCAAUAAGAAAAAAAAACCCUCAUUUCAAUGUUCAAUAUAUAUGAAAUUCUACAAAAUUAAUUUCUUCUAAUAUUUUUACUUUUUGUGAUUAAGUUUAAAAUACUUUUCAAUUACUAAAUCUUAGUCCGAGCCAACCUAUUGGCUCGACUAACUAUUUAGAAAAUAUAAUAUGUUUAUAUUAAAAAUUUUAUAUUUAAAUAAAAAUUCAAGACGAGUUGUCUAGAAUUUGUGAAAAUGCUGUCCACGACCUAGCACAUAUUGGACAAUCCUAUUGAACUAGGUAGGUAGUGUGAGCUUGCCUUGAAAGUGCUAAUAAAUCCAAUUGAGUCAAGACUUAAGACUUCUUAUUCAACUUUAGACCCAAAUUGGGUAAUCAUAUUAGACGGAUAGUUUGAUACUUAAAUAUAUCUAAUCACAAUAUAUAUAAUUAAAUGAGCAAACAUAAAACCUUGGUUCUAAAACUCCAUGCUUCCUCUUUUGUUAACUUUAUGUUUAACUCUUCGGCCAACUUUUUCAAAUGUUGUAAGGUUCCCACUGUCAGUAUUAUACCAUUUUGAUCUCCACUAUUACAUUAUAAUCAUAUUAAAAAAAUAAAAAAAAUAGAAAAAAAUCAGUCAAAUGGCAUGAUAAUUUCUUUUCAAAAUUGUUCACUUUGAUUCUUCAUACAUAUUUAACUUAUUUCAAGAAAGUAUUGGAAAAAAUUAUGGCAUACAAAUAUAAUACUAACCUGAAUAUUGUAAUGGGAAUGGCUUGUUGAAGAAGGUUUUUAAGUGCAGGGAGCAUGUCAAGGUCCUUAUCAGCUUCGUUGUAUUUAAAAUUAGUUCUAAAAAAAUAAGAGUGAAAUAUAAUGAAAAUUUUAAGGCUAGCAAUUUUUACACGACAUUCACCUCAAUAAACAAGUAAUUUAUUUUAUUUUCUUAAGAAAUAGGUGACAAUAUAGAAAGAGAAAAAUUGACCGCGAGUUUUAAAACUUGAAUUUAAAAUAAUUUCUAAAAAGUAUUUAUAUGAAUAUAUUGGAAAAAAAGUUCAUCUUGUCUCAAAUUUUAGGGGAAAACUUACGUGAAAUAACCCUUCCAUCUAUAUGACAAGUUGGUUCGAAUCCCAUGGAAAGCUUUUUGAACUUCUGAAAGAAUAAAGUAAAAUUGCACUCUUAAUGGAAGACACAUGUCUACUUCUGUGCUAACUAUAAGAACCAAUACUAAAAAAUAAAGUUUUACGCUUUUGAUAUAACCAAUAAAAGAAAAAUAACACAAAAUCAAUUUUACUCAAUUGAUCAGUUAAUUCAAUUCUAUAGGAACUUAUGUUAUAUGUAGUUUCGAGUUGAAGUAAAAUAAGAGGAAUGUAAAGAACUAAAUGAAAACAUGUUUUCCCAAGUCCAAAUCUAGCUCAUUUUCAGCAUUAGGAGGGCGAAAGACAACAAAUAGCUUUUGUCAGGAGUAAUUAUGAGCAUUGGUCUUGAAAGUAGCCAAACCGGCCUCGAACUCAAGGUUUUUGCAUUUUGCGCUUCAAGUGGUUGCAGCAUCAAUGAGACACGACCUCCAAAUGUGCUGGAAAAGGAUGGCUCAAAAGCAAACAUUGCUUUUGGUUGGAAAGUGGUGUUGGUAGGUUAUGGAUGCCGGGUAGUGUUUGGAAUGGCCAUGGGAUGUGUUGUUUUCCAAACUGGUAAGGCAAAAAGGUUCGUGAAUUUGGUUGAAGACCAACAUGAGAAGAGGCGAAGAAGAAAGCCAAAAUAUAGCAAUAUCGCAUCAAUGGAUGAAGAAGGAUCUAGUUGGUUCAAAUGAAGUUAAAGCAUUUGUGCUGUGUCUGCAUAAUUUCUUGUUUAGUAGUCUGUCAGAAAGUUUUUCCUAUGGUGAAAAGUUGCAUUGGUAUGUGUCUGUUUUUAUGAUUGUACCAAUUCCUCUGUAUUUCAUUGCAUUUCGUACUAUUUGUAAGGAUUUAGUUCUAGUGUAACAUCUUGUAUGGUGCAACUAUGUAUGUCUUCUUUCUUGAAUUUCAAUUUUUAGUAAACAUUAUACUGCUCAACAUAAAAAAAAUACAUGUAGAAUUACAAAAGAUUCAAUUAUUCAAGUUCGAGUUGCAUUUAUAAACACGUGACGAUGAGAAUUCAUGAUGUGUUAUAAGCAAGAAGACUUUGUAAUCUCAUGAAUGUUAAUUAUUUUACUUCUUUGGUAAAAAAAAGUAAUCAAUCUUAUGAAUGAAAAAUAUAGGGUAAAGAGGAAGUAGUUGUUAACCUUUUCGAUUUAGUUGUUAACCUUUUCGAAAGUAAAUAUUUUAGUCACUCUCUUGUUAGUUGUUGUUAAAUGAGUGACCAAAAGCUGAUGUGGGCUUUUUUUAUUAGUCUAAUAACAAAUUUAGGCCUCCAAUGUUUACACAUUCUAUCAAUUUGAUCCUAGAUAUAAAAAAAAUCAACAAAUUUAGCCCUGAAUGUUAACAAAACUUGUGAUUUUAGUUCAAAUUCUAAAAAAUUUAAUAAAUUUAACCCUUAAUAUUUUCAAAAAUUAGCAAUUUAGUUCUAAUUCUAAAAAUUUUAAUAUAUAUAUAUUUUAAAAAAUAUUUUUAAUCCUCUGUCUCACCCUUUGAUUUUUUAGAUGAGCAAAAAUCAAAAUAUAUCAUUAUGUCUUUUUGUUUUAAAGCUAAAAGAGAUAAAAAAAAUGAAAAGCUAAAAUGACUUUUCGUUUGUAAAGUUAAAAAAUGCUAAAUAAAUCAUUAUGUCUUUUUAAUUUUAAUUUUUUACUUGAUUAAAAGAGAAAUAAUUAACGAAAGAAAAAUAAUUAUUCCCAAAUAAAUUUAUCAGGUUUUAGAUUUAAAUUAUGAGGCUAUAUAUAUAUAUAAGUAUACACAUUUUUAUGAAAUACAAGAUUUUGCUAAAAGAAAAAGCAUCCAAUUUUAAGAAUGAAAAAUAUAAAUCCUUUCAUUUUGAAUUGCAACUUUAUCCUGCCUAAAUUCCUCAACCAUGAACCACCCAUCAGGGCAGCCUCAAAAUGAACUUCCUUGGUCCGCCGGAUUCUGCGAUUGUUGCUCUGACCUGAAAACUUGUAACCCUUUCUUCUUUCUUCAAAAUCAGUUGUGUCAUUUUAAAUAUAUGAAUUAGUUUAUCAAUUAAAUAUAUGGACAUUUCAGGUUGCAUUUCAUACUGUUGCCCAUGCAUCACCUUUGGCCAGAUUGCUGAGAUUGUUGAUAAAGGGUCGACUUGUAAGUUAUUAAUUUCUAAAUUGAAAUCUUAUCAUCUUAGGUUUGCAGACAUAUAUAUAUUUAAAGAGAUAUUAUGUAAUUAAUAAUAAUGUUGAAAAACACUGUUGGAUGGUGCAGCAUGUGGGGCAAGUGGGGCAGUAUACACAUUAAUAAUGUUCAUCACCGGGUGUGGGUGCUUAUAUUCUUGCUGCUACCGAUCCAAACUGAGAAAGCAGUAUAACUUGAAAGGAGGCCAUUGUGGCGAUUGCAUGCGUCAUUUCUGCUGCGAGCCUUGUGCUUUGACACAAGAGUAUCGUGAGCUCCAGAACCGUGGAUUCGACAUGUCUAUCGGUAUGUCUACAUACCAAUAUUAUACCCCUUUUAAUUAUUCUUAAUAUAACUUCAAGUAUAUUAAUUGAGUAGCUGUAAACAAAUAUCUCCGAAUAAAUAUGUUAGUAAUGAUGAGAUAAAUUAUUGUUUGAGGUCAUUAAUUUUGUGGGGGUAUAUUUAUAUAUGCAGGUUGGCAUGCAAAUGUGGGAAGAACCCAGGGCUGGCAAUGGCUCCAGCGGUAGAAAAAGGCAUGAGCAAAUAGAUGAUGAUGAUGAUCGCUGCAUUAAUAUCGUCUUUAUAUGUAACACUUAAUUCCUUUGCUUUCCAUAAUUGGUGCCAAUUGGAUUUCAAGUUAUGUAUGUUUGUGAUUGUCAAAAUGUGACUCUGUUAAAUAGUAAAUAGCAUUUUUUAAAAGGGUUCAUAUAUAUCGUGAUACCUAAAGUUGGCAACUUCUACUUUGUAUCAAAAUCGGUACAUAAACUUGAAAAUUGUAAGUCAACUUGGUAUCGGUACAUAAACUUGAAAAUUGUAAGUCAACUUGGUAUUUUUAUAAGUAUGAUGAUGUUGGUGUAGUGUGAGGAAGAAGACUUGAAUGGGUUUGAUUAUUUUUAAUAAUACAGGAAUUUACGUAUUAUAAGUAAAUAGACACUCACAUUCUUUACGUAUUAUAAGGAAGAAGACUAAGUCAAUCUACUUUGUAAUCUCAUCAAUCUUAAUUUUCUCAAUUGUUCAGGGAGUUCAAAUGAAAUACAAAAUUUUGGUAAAAAAAUGUAUCCAAUUUUGUGAAUGAAAAAUAUAUGGUAAAAAAGAUUUGGUAUCAAUACUUCGGCGCGGGUAUCAAUACUCGAUACAUUGCUUUUGGUUGGAAAGUAGUGUUUGGAAUGGCCAUGGGAUGUGUUGUUUUCCAAACCGGUAAGGCGAAAAGGUUUGUGAAUUUGGUUGAAGACCAACAUGAGAAGAGGCGAAGAAGAAAACCAAAAUAUAGCAAUCGCAUCAAUGGAUGAAGAAGGAUCUAGUUGGUGCAAAUGAAGUUAAAGCCUUUCUGCUGUGUCUUCAUAAUUUCUUGUUUAGUAGUCUGUCAGAAAGUUUUUCCUAUGGUGAAAAGUUGCAUUGGUAUGUGUCUGUCUUUAUGAUUGUACCAAUUCCUCUGUAUUUCAUUGCAUUUUGUACUAUUUGUAAGGGUUUAGUUCGAGUGUAACAUCUUGUAUGGUGCAACUAUGUAUGUCUUCUUUCUUGAAUUUCAAUUUUUAGUAAACAUUAUACUGCUCACCAUAAAAAAAGAUACAUGAAGAAUUACAAAAUAUUCAAUUAUUCAAGUUCGAGUUGCAUUUAUAAACACGUGAUGAUGAUGAGAAUUCAUGAACAUAAGGUAUGGUUUGAGCCCUUUUGCCAUAUGCAUUUAUGUUGCAGGCGUUCAAACAUGGAAUAAUUCAACCUGCCUUUGUGUAUUCUUAAUUUUGUGCCAAACCUAUAUAUCUAUCGACAAAUUUAAGAAAAAUAUUUACAAUAGCAUUGCAGAGUAACAUAUUUAAGAUUGGAUUACACUGUCAAAAGAUUGCAGCAACGAUGAGAUUAAUCCAAUUACAGGAAUUGAUAUCCUAAAUGGCUUUUAGGUACGUAGCUUCAUUGACGGUACAAACGAGUUAAAAAUUCCAGCAUUCAUGUCUUUGUUUUCCCUCAAGUAAACGUAGUCAAUACUGCAAAUGGUGUGGAAGUAUUGUACAUUGUGGCCCAAAUGUCCAAAAUUUCCACAUUGCUUGUAAGUUAAGUUUGGAUGAGAGAGAUAGGAGGAAGCAACAGCAAGUGUGAAGUCAAUAGACAAUUGAUAGUCUUAGUGUUUGUCUUUUUUUGUCGAGUUAAAGUGUAGUCAAUAGACAAUUGAUAGUCUUAGCCCUUUUUGUGGAGUUAAAUUUAUAGUCAAUAGACAAUUCGAGUGGAACAUCUUGUAUGGUGCAACUAUGUAUGUCUUCUUUCUUGAAUUUCAAUUUUAGUAAACAUUAUACUGCUCACCAUAAAAAAAAUACAUGUAGAAUUACAAAAGAUUCAAUUAUUCAAGCUGUUUGAGUUGCAUUUAUAAACACGUGACGAUGAGAAUUCAUGAACAUAAGGUAUGGUUUGAGCCCUUUUGCCAUAUGCAUUUAUGUUGCAGAUGUUCAAACAUGGAAUAAUUCAACCUGCCAUAAGCAAGUGUGAAGUCAAUAGACAAUUGAUAGUCUUAGUCUUUGUCUUUUUUUGUCUGAGUUAAAGUGUAGUCAAUAGACAAUUGAUAGUCUUAGCCCUUUUUGUGGAGUUAAAUUUAUAGUCAAUAGACAAUUGGGACCAAACUUGACCUGUUAUAAGGAAGAAGACUUUGUAAUCUCACCAAUGUUAAUUAUUUUACUUCUUUGGUAAAAAAAAGUAAUUAAUUUUAUGAAUGAAAAAUAUACGGUAAAGAGGAAGUAGUUGUUGAUCACUAAUAACAUGAUGAUUGUGGAAAUACAAAAAAUCCCAUAUAUGUGUUGAAUUCUGCAUAAUGUAAAUGUCCCGCAUUGCAUGUGAAUUCUGCAAUAGACCAAACUUUAUGUGUUAUAGUCCUUUAAACUGAGUUAAUGAAAAGUAACCAUUCUUAUCAAAAUUAGUUAUACUCUUAAUUUAUAACAAAGAAAGGAGUAAUUUGAGUUUAACUCAAAGGUUAAUAUGUCAUCAAUGGGCGAUGGCGUGGUGCUACCAUGUCAGCCAUUAUUUUCUUCUUUGAGUUAAGGUGAUUUCACCAAUUUAAGUUUACUUUUUUACUUCAAUUUAGGUUUAUGCUUAUUACCUUCGAAGAUUCUAAGUGGGUGCCACAACCAAAGGGUGAGUAAAAAGGGUUAAAAAUAAUUUUUUUAAAAAUAUUUUUAUUUUUAUUAAAAAUUUAGAAUUAGAAUUAGAUAAAUUUUGUAAAUGUUAAGGGCUAACUUUAUUAAUUUUUUUUUCAUAAUUCGAACUAAAAUGACAAAUUUUGUAAAAAGCGCUAAAUUAGUUGAAUUUUUUAUAUUUAGGAUUAAAUUGAUAGAAUGUGUAAAUAUUAGAGGUUAAAAUUGUUAUUAGAUCAAUAAAAAACCCAUAUCAGCUUUCCGUCACUCAUCUAUCUACAACUAAAGGGAGAGCGAUUAAAAAAUUAGAAUGUUUGGAUCAUUUUUCUAAUUAAAGUCAUAGUGUAGGAGGCAAUUAAAUGCAUGCGCCACUCACGGUGGACGGUUUUGACAGCUGAUGACGUUGACAGUGCUCUUAAUCUGAGAAACGUGGAGGUACAUUUUCAAGUUUCAAAAAUUUUCUGUUUAUUGUAUUUUUUUAUUAUUCUUUUUCCUUUUUAGUUGAAAAUAGUGCUAAUUAAUGUUAUUUGUUUGACUAAUGUGAUAAUUUCUACUUCAUGUGUAUUAAUCCAUAAAUUUUAACAAGAGUGGAAUUUUGAGAACUUAGUUUUGGAAGUUUGAAUCUUAAGUUUAACCUGCUGCUUUAGAUUUUGCAUUUUGGUUAACUGGCUUGUGUUAUGUGUUUCUCUGGCAUCAGCCGAUAUGUGGAUUUGCCCCUCGUGAUGCACUACGAUUCAAGAAAGCUGCUGGGCAUAAGGAUUUGUUCUACAUUGAUGACAAAGAUGUGGAGUUUAAAGAAGUAGGAACUUAUCAACAAUAUUCGAGAUUCUGUUAUAUGUUGCCUUAUGUAUGUAGGUUCUUGAGUCACCUUUGCCAAGAGCACCACGUGAAUUUAUAUAAGUAUACACAUUUUUAUGAAAUACAAGAUCUUGCUAAAAGAAAAAGCAUAUAAAAGUAUAAACGUUUUUAUGAAAUACAAGAUUUUGCUAAAAGAAAAAGCAUCCAAUUUUAAGAAUGAAAAAUAUAUGGUAAAAGCAUCCAUAACUUUUCAAUGUAAAAGACAAAAAAGACUGUAACACCAAUGUUGUGGUAUUAUUUGUUGCCUAUAAAUACCAUUCCUAUCCUUCUUCUUCCUCUACAAACAUAACAUGGCCCCCUAUCUCUUUCUCUGCCUAUUCCUCUUCUUUCCCCAUCUUUAUGCUUCUUUUUCUUCUUCAGGAUCUCACUCCUGCUCUUCACUAAUCCAAUUUAAGGACUCUUUUUCCAUCACAGAGGAUGCUUCCUGGUAUUGCGAUGAGAUUGCUGGCCUUAAAUCUCAUCCCAAGACAGAUUCAUGGAAGGAGGGUACAGAUUGCUGCUCAUGGGAUGGGGUCACUUGUGACCACCUAAAUGCUCAUGUUAUUGCCCUUGACUUGAGCUGCAGUUGGCUAUCUGGCAACUUCCCUUCCAAUACCACUCUCUUCCUUCUUCCUCACCUUCAAAAACUCAACCUUGCCUACAAUCAUUUCAAUCAUUCCAAAAUUCCAUCCGAGUUCGGUCGGGUUUACAAGCCUAUUCUACCUCAACCUUUCUAAUACAUGGUUUGCAGGAGAAGUCCCAUCCCAAGUCUCGCACCUGUCAAAAUUGGUUUCACUUGAUCUCUCCUCUGAGUUUGGUGAACAAACAAUUGACAAACAUGCUCUGGAGGGACUUGUUCACAACCUAACCGAGGUCAGACAUCUGUUUUUGGAUGGAAUGGACAUGUCUUCUGUUAAUGCUCAUGUCUUCAUGAAUCUAUCCUCUUCUCUAAGGUCUCUCAGUCUUGCUUAUUGUGAUUUGCAAGGAAAAUUCCCAAAAAACAUUUUUGAUUUGCCAAACCUCAAUCUCCUCAACUUGAGAGGCAACCAAAACCUCAAUCUUGAUCCUUUGAAGUUCAAUCGGAGCAGCAAUCUUGAACAUUUGGAUCUGUCGUGGAUGUCCUCCUCUACAGAAUCCAUUGAUUCAGUUGAUAAUCUACAGGCCUUAAAGUACUUAGCUCUAUCAGGAAAUUCUUUCUUUCAACGAUUGUCUGUCUCAAUCACAAAAUUAUCUUAUUUGGAGUACUUGACACUUGAAGGCGCAAAUUUUUUUGGAGGAUUGCCUGACUCGAUGGGGAAUCUCGUGUCCUUGAAGUGUUUAGACUUGAGAUCAAACAAAUUGAGUGGACAAAUUCCAUUGUCAAUUCUAAACCUAACGCAGUUGGAAUACUUGGAUAUAUCUGAAAAUUCAUUAGAAGGUUCCAUUCCAGAUGAGGUAACCGCUUUUCCUAAUCUAAAACAUUUAGACUUAUCUGACAAUUUACUCAAUGGAACACUUCCGUCAUGGUUGUGUACUGUUCCCUCCUUAAAGAUAAUAUUUCUCUUUCAAAAUCAAUUCAGUGGGCAUAUCAAAGAAUUCCAAUCCAAAUCACUAGAAUUGAUAGUGUUACAGAAUAAUAAACUCCAAGGUCCUCUUCCAUCUUCAAUAUUCCAACUUCUCAAUCUUACAUCGCUUGCUUUAUCCUCAAAUAAUCUUAGUGGUGUCAUAGAGUUUAGCAUGUUCUCAAACCUUCCAAAUCUCGAAUAUCUUGACCUUUCAUAUAACAGCCUAUCCUUAACAUCUAAUACUACUUCUACUGUUAAUCAUAUAUUGCCUAAUCUUACAGACGUACUUUUGUCAUCUUGCAAUCUUAGUGAAUUCCCCCAAUUUUUGAAAGGGCUUAAAAGUUUGGAAAGGUUAGACCUCUCUUGCAACAAAAUUGAAGGCAAGAUUCCACAGUGGAUGCAAGAGGUGGGGAAUGUCUCUUUGACUUACUUCAACGUAUCUCACAACUCUUUGACAGAAGUUGAGCACUUUCCAUGGAAGAAUAUUGCAUUUCUUGACUUAAGCUCCAAUUUGGUCAGUGGAAAUCUUCCGAUUCCAGCUUC
This 33887-nucleotide long non-coding RNA is filed under the name Gossypium barbadense (sea-island cotton). RNAcentral describes it as "long non-coding RNA (GBAR_LNC016765)". Lineage: Eukaryota; Viridiplantae; Streptophyta; Magnoliopsida; Malvales; Malvaceae. The record is from RNAcentral.